GACCGCGCAGCUCAGUUGGCAGAGCAUUGGGCUAGUAUUCCAAAGGUCGCGGGUUCGAUUCCCACCGUGGUCA
Molecule: non-coding RNA, 73 nt
Organism: Paramuricea clavata
Lineage: Eukaryota; Metazoa; Cnidaria; Anthozoa; Malacalcyonacea; Plexauridae
Source: the annotation of a GenBank genome assembly